RNAcentral lists this transfer RNA (58 nucleotides) under Escherichia coli. RNAcentral's name for it is "partial tRNA-Pro". It matches the Rfam family "tRNA", at positions 1 to 55 of the family's 71-position model. From Rfam's summary of the family: Transfer RNA (tRNA) molecules are approximately 80 nucleotides in length. RNAcentral also lists the same sequence under 1 other name. Lineage: Bacteria; Pseudomonadati; Pseudomonadota; Gammaproteobacteria; Enterobacterales; Enterobacteriaceae. The record is from RNAcentral.
CGGUGAUUGGCGCAGCCUGGUAGCGCACUUCGUUCGGGACGAAGGGGUCGGAGGUUCG